UUGUACACACCGCCCGUCACACCAUGAGAGUUUGUAACACCCAAAGCCGGUGAGGUAACCUUUUAGGAGCCAACCGCCUAAGGUGGGACAGAUGAUUAGGGUGAAGUCGUAACAAGGUAGCCGUAGGAGAACCUGCGGCUGGAUCACCUCCUUUCU
This 156-nucleotide ribosomal RNA is filed under the name Weissella viridescens. RNAcentral's name for it is "partial 16S ribosomal RNA". It matches the Rfam family "Bacterial small subunit ribosomal RNA", at positions 1381 to 1533 of the family's 1533-position model. Lineage: Bacteria; Bacillati; Bacillota; Bacilli; Lactobacillales; Lactobacillaceae. The record is from RNAcentral.